CUCAGGAUGAUGAUAAGGACCCAGGAGUGCAAGAGCCAAGGUUCAGCCCUAAAAUGAUGGAAUAGUGACCCACAAUCUGGGACAUCCAUCUGCCUCUGAACAAUAUGCAUUGUCUUACGUCUGUAUCUGCGAGAGCUGCUGGUACUAACACCCAGCGUAUUCUCAGAAUCUCUAUGUUAGUCCAUUAAGUUCUAGCCCCCCUGUGCUAUAAUUUGUAGUAUGUUGACAUUAAAAAAAAAAUCCAUUCCUCUAAAGUUAAAUAUUUGAAUAGUGUCAGGGUAGGUCAUUAUUCUCCGUCAAGAAUCCCUUAGCACCACAUAGUCACCACAUGUGACAGCAUGUGGGUUUCUAAGAAGAGGAACCCCUUUCCCCCAAGACGGUUGUUGACUUGACUUUGUUGUUCAGCCUGCUGCGGAUGGGUCCCUCCUCCUGCAAAAACAGAAAUGUAGAUAUUACGGUCACCACGGUUGUUCCAUCACCAUGAAGAGGUGACAUCAUAACGUGCAAUACAUCUGACCACAGCUUGAACAUUCCACAGGACGAGAAGAGCAUCGCAACCAGUUCCAAUUGUGAGCGGCCUCCGCAUUUCCAGACUUAAUGCCGUAGGUGCAGAGAAUCUUCCUGACUUGAAAACUGAGACACCCUCAUUCCGUCAGAGCCUCAAGAGCCAGUGUCCACAUCCUGAGCCUUCCUACCUCUGUGGCCCAAUUCUUGAAGCUUCCUUCUUUGGCAACCAUUUCUGGUGGGACAGCUUUUCGGAUCUGGUCACAGCAUCCGUACCGCUCACUGGAUAGUAUGCUUGCUUUUCCCCUUGAAUAAAACAGCCGAUCUGAGGACUGGAGAGAUGCUCACUUGUGCAAACACCAGAGCCUAUGUGAUGAUAGCCAGAUGUGACACAGGCAAAUGCUGGUCUUGGUCUGAGGUUGUUGUUUCCUGACCACUGAGUCUCAGACCAGGCCAGCAAACUCCAAAUAAGAAAUGGAGCUGCAGAUUCUCUGGCUUCAUUCAAGUUGCCUAAGGGGAGGCGCCAGGAG
This 1034-nucleotide long non-coding RNA is filed under the name Rattus norvegicus (Norway rat). Its description in RNAcentral is "long non-coding RNA NONRATT033633". Lineage: Eukaryota; Metazoa; Chordata; Mammalia; Rodentia; Muridae. The record is from RNAcentral.